Calypte anna (Anna's hummingbird) is the source of this 715-nucleotide long non-coding RNA. RefSeq lists it as uncharacterized. The record is from RefSeq and is a predicted model, not a curated record. The transcript has 3 exons. Lineage: Eukaryota; Metazoa; Chordata; Aves; Apodiformes; Trochilidae.
GUGAGAUGUGAACCCCAGACAGGACAGGGCUGGGUUUGAGUCUCGCUGGAAUCAACCCCCUGCUCAGGGAAGGCAGAGUCACUACAUCCCAGAAGCUGUGGAAUCCUGGCCAGAGCAGGCUGUGGUCUGCAGGAGCCUCGGCACAGCCCGGGGCACAGCUCUGGGCUCCGAGGGGUGAAGCUGCACGCUCACGGUUUUCCAAAAGGCUCCAGACCUGUUUUUAAGAAAGUGCUUUAAUUCCUGUGCUUGUGCUCCCAGAGCCCGGCGCUGGCUUCUGCUCCGGGUCACUUUAAUGACCUCGUUCUGCAGAUCGGAGCAGAGAGGAGAAGGAUGUGAGACAUUCCUGUGAAGGAGCCGGGACUCUCUCGGGCCUCUCCCCGGAGCCCCGGGGUUCCUGGCCAUGGACCCGCAGGAAGCCCAGAUGGUUCAGAUAACACAAAACGCGGCAGGAAUGCGUCCUAAAAACAUCACCCCAGAACUCAGCACGCGUUGUACAGCUCAGGACAGUUCUUUUAUCUUCAUACCCGUGCUGCCAGAGCUGUGUCUGCACAGAGCUUCACCUUGUGCUCCAUGGACCCCGCAGCCCAGCCAGAACCCCAGGCACCAUGCCAGCAGGAUGCAGAGAGCUCUGGAGUGGUGUUUCAGUUGAGAUGACUUUCAGCUCCAUCUUCUUGCUGCCCAACAGCCAAAGAGCCCAGUGCAGGAGGAGUGAUGC